RNAcentral lists this microRNA precursor (58 nucleotides) under Melibe leonina. Its description in RNAcentral is "microRNA mle-mir-252b precursor". Its record names the gene mle-mir-252b. The record is from miRBase by way of RNAcentral. Lineage: Eukaryota; Metazoa; Mollusca; Gastropoda; Nudibranchia; Dendronotidae.
AUAAGUAGUGGUGCCGCAGGUACUGUGUCCAUCCAUACCUGCACACCGGUGCUUACCA